CCGGGAAACCGGGGCUAAUACCGAUGCUUGAUUGAACCGCAUGGUUCAAUCAUAAAAGGUGGCUUUNAGCUACCCUUACAGAUGGACCCGCGGCGCAUUAGCUAGUUGGUGAGGUAACGGCUCACAAGGCGACGAUGCGUAGCCGACCUGAGAGGGUGAUCGGCCACACUGGGACGAUGACACUGGCCCCAGACUCCUACGGGAGGCAGCAGUAGGGAAUCUUCCGAAUGGACGAAAGUCUGACGGAGCAACGCCGCGUGAGUGAG
Molecule: ribosomal RNA, 266 nt
Filed under: uncultured Bacillus sp.
Lineage: Bacteria; Bacillati; Bacillota; Bacilli; Caryophanales; Bacillaceae
Description: partial 16S ribosomal RNA
Rfam family: Bacterial small subunit ribosomal RNA
Source: RNAcentral